ACGUUUGUUGCGAACACUGAGCCAAUGUGAACUGAUGACAGCUGAGUAAAGUCCGGAGUUCACAGGUGAAUGUUUCUGAAAGCCAAACCCACAGUUCAGCGUGAUGGUUGAAAAGCGUCAACACUAGGGUAGUAGCUUCCCUCUGACCAUGGGCAGAUGACCGUGACCGUGGCUGAAGCCAGAGGAAGACAGCGUCCCACCAGGGAGGCCACACUGCUGAGUGGACGGGACAAGGCCCAGGGCGGGGCCUCAGGCUAUGGGUGGGUCAACCUGUGCCCACACCACGCGCCCAGGUGAGAGCGGGGUUCCUGUGCCCUCUUUUGGGACCCCAGCCCCCCCCCACAGCCCACCCCCGCACACCC
Molecule: long non-coding RNA, 362 nt
Organism: Lynx canadensis (Canada lynx)
Lineage: Eukaryota; Metazoa; Chordata; Mammalia; Carnivora; Felidae
Exons: 3
Source: RefSeq, a predicted model, not a curated record